CCUACGGGUGGCAGCAGUGGGGAAUAUUGGACAAUGGGGGCAACCCUGAUCCAGCCAUGCCGCGUGUGUGAAGAAGGCCCUCGGGUUGUAAAGCACUUUCAGUGAGGAAGAACGCCUGGUGGUUAAUACCCAUCAGGAAAGACAUCACUCACAGAAGAAGCACCGGCUAACUCCGUGCCAGCAGCCGCGGUAAUACGGAGGGUGCGAGCGUUAAUCGGAAUUACUGGGCGUAAAGCGCGCGUAGGUGGCUUGAUAAGCCGGUUGUGAAAGCCCCGGGCUCAACCUGGGAACGGCAUCCGGAACUGUCAAGCUAGAGUGCAGGAGAGGAAGGUAGAAUUCCCGGUGUAGCGGUGAAAUGCGUAGAGAUCGGGAGGAAUACCAGUGGCGAAGGCGGCCUUCUGGACUGACACUGACACUGAGGUGCCAAAGCGUGGGUAGCAAACAGGAUUAGAUACCCUAGUAGUC
RNAcentral lists this ribosomal RNA (465 nucleotides) under Vreelandella stevensii. RNAcentral's name for it is "partial 16S ribosomal RNA". It matches the Rfam family "Bacterial small subunit ribosomal RNA", at positions 338 to 795 of the family's 1533-position model. The record is from RNAcentral. Lineage: Bacteria; Pseudomonadati; Pseudomonadota; Gammaproteobacteria; Oceanospirillales; Halomonadaceae.